GGCGUCCGGCCACACUGGGACUGAGACACGGCCCAGACUCCUACGGGAGGCAGCAGUGGGGAAUAUUGCGCAAUGGGCGGAAGCCUGACGCAGCGACGCCGCGUGGGGGAUGACGGCCUUCGGGUUGUAAACCUCUUUCGACCUCGACGAAGCCUUUCGGGGUGACGGUAGGGGUGGAAGAAGCACCGGCCAACUACGUGCCAGCAGCCGCGGUAAUACGUAGGGUGCGAGCGUUGUCCGGAAUUAUUGGGCGUAAAGAGCUCGUAAGCGGUGUGUCACGUCGGCCGUGAAAACCUGCAGCUUAACUGUGGGCGUGCGGUCGAUACGGGCAUCACUGGAGUUCGGCAGGGGAGACUGGAAUUCCUGGUGUAGCGGUGAAAUGCGCAGAUAUCAGGAGGAACACCGGUGGCGAAGGCGGGUCUCUGGGCCGAUACUGACGCUGAGGAGCGAAAGCGUGGGGAGCGAACAGGAUUAGAUACCCUGGUAGUCCACGCCGUAAACGGUGGGCACUAGGUGUGGGGGCCAUUCCACGGUCUCUGUGCCGCAGCUAACGCAUUAAGUGCCCCGCCUGGGGAGUACGGCCGCAAGGCUAAAACUCAAAGGAAUUGACG
This 611-nucleotide ribosomal RNA is filed under the name uncultured Actinomycetes bacterium. Its description in RNAcentral is "SSU rRNA". It matches the Rfam family "Bacterial small subunit ribosomal RNA", at positions 299 to 915 of the family's 1533-position model. The record is from RNAcentral. Lineage: Bacteria; Bacillati; Actinomycetota; Actinomycetes.